This 465-nucleotide ribosomal RNA is filed under the name uncultured bacterium. Its description in RNAcentral is "partial 16S ribosomal RNA". It matches the Rfam family "Bacterial small subunit ribosomal RNA", at positions 338 to 795 of the family's 1533-position model. The record is from RNAcentral.
CCUACGGGGGGCAGCAGUGGGGAAUAUUGCGCAAUGGGCGAAAGCCUGACGCAGCGACGCCGCGUGAGGGAUGAAGGUCUUCGGAUCGUAAACCUCUGUCAGCAGGGAAGAACGGUCACUGUGCUAAUCAGCAGUGAAUUGACGGUACCUGCAAAGGAAGCACCGGCUAACUCCGUGCCAGCAGCCGCGGUAAUACGGAGGGUGCGAGCGUUAAUCGGAAUUACUGGGCGUAAAGCGCUCGUAGGCGGUCUGUCAAGUCAAGGGUGAAAUCCCCGCGCUCAACGUGGGAACUGCCUUUGAAACUGGCAAACUGGAGUGUGUGAGAGGAUAGUGGAAUUCCAGGUGUAGGAGUGAAAGCCGUAGAUAUCUGGAGGAACAUCAGUGGCGAAGGCGACUAUCUGGCACAUAACUGACGCUGAGGAGCGAAAGCGUGGGUAGCAAACAGGAUUAGAUACCCCGGUAGUC